Molecule: ribosomal RNA, 253 nt
Filed under: uncultured bacterium
Lineage: Bacteria
Description: partial 16S ribosomal RNA
Rfam family: Bacterial small subunit ribosomal RNA
Source: RNAcentral
UACGUAGGGGGCUAGCGUUGUCCGGAUUUAUUGGGCGUAAAGAGCGUGUAGGCGGCCAGGUAGGUCUGCUGUGAAAACUCGAGGCUCAACCUCGAGACGUCGGCGGAAACCAUCUGGCUAGAGUCCGGAAGAGGAGAGUGGAAUUCCUGGUGUAGCGGUGAAAUGCGCAGAUAUCAGGAAGAACACCCGUGGCGAAGGCGGCUCUCUGGGACGGUACUAACGCUGAGACGCGAAAGCGUGGGGAGCGAACAGG